Long non-coding RNA from Rosa rugosa (rugosa rose), 4279 nucleotides. RefSeq lists it as uncharacterized. The transcript has 17 exons. The record is from RefSeq and is a predicted model, not a curated record. NCBI's taxonomy places the organism in Eukaryota, Viridiplantae, Streptophyta, Magnoliopsida, Rosales, Rosaceae.
AUUUACUAUAUACUAAUUCUCAACGCACUGUUCAUCGGCUUAUGAACAGUGCCGGCUCCAGCCGAGCCGAUAUUGUAAAAGACGAUUUUGCCCUCGACACCUGGCGUACUGCUCAGUCCUAUCGUGUCUUCGCUACUUCGCUCCACAGAGAGGUGGAGAGACAGCGAAGGUGGUACUGUUUGAAUUUCGGUGCAUGCAAUUCUGGGUGAAAACAGAAUACCGAGUUCACUGAUGGUGGUAUUUUGUUAUCUGUAGAGGACUGAAAUUGGAGAGGAGGAAGGGAGAAUUUAUCAAGGCCAAGAAAGGUGGUUGUUUGUGAAUUUUGCAGAAUGGAAUAGCAGAGAAGAAUUGGUGGGGAGAGUUUGGGUUGGGGAUAUAUAUUUUCACACAACAGCUGGCCUUUAAAAAAUUAGGUACUUCCAGUAAAAUAACACCAUUGCAGCUGGAAGGCUUGCUGACCGAAGGGAGCACAUCAAGACUUUGGUUGAUUCUGUGGGUUCUAUAGUUUGAGAUCUGGGUAACUCACUGCAAGAGUUUCAAGAUAUUCAUCAGGGAAUUGCAACUUUAAUCACUCUGUUGGAAGAAAAAACAACCAGGAGUUUACGAUUUUCAAGGCAAGUUUUGGAAUUGUGUUGAGGAAAGUAGGAGAGCUGCAGGUUAGAUAUUCUUUCCUAGAUUAUCUUUUCCCUGUUUUGAUUUCUGAAAUUGGUUCAAUUUGCAUAUGAGUUAGAACUUGCUUAGAGUAUUUAAGAAAUACUGCAAACAGAAGUGGCAAAUGGUUUAGAAUGUUUUCAUAUUGCAUGGAACACAGUAAGCAAAUGUACUCAUGAAUUGGAAUACAUUUACUAUAUUUUCAAUGAACAAUGAUAGAUGAGUGUUGUGACAGAGCUGUGAAGAAAAUAUAUAGAGGCAUUUUUUUUUGAACUAGGAUACUCUAUUCUGUAAUGUUGUUCUACAUGUACUCAAUGUGUGCAUUGCUUGGUCUAGGAUACUCUAUUCUGUAAUGUUGUUCAAACAUGUUUGCAUGUUGCUCUUUAUUCUUUUCUCUUCGAAAUAUAAUACAGUUAUUGGUAUCAUUCCAAAAAAUCAGUCUUGCAUUGGUUGGUCUUCUACACUGACUAAAAGAGAAUCAGCAGCUUUCAUUUAAUAAUACUAUUCCGGUAGCCGAGUGUUUUUAGAUACUACAGAACAAUGUGGGAAUCUCAUCCACUAGAAACUCAGUUUCUGGAUUAAGAACAAUUUUGCACAAACCAAGGUGAGUGUAGACCUUUAAUUAAGGUCAAUAUAGAAAAAUUUGUGUUCUGCACUCUCAUCUUCAAUCUAAAAAUCUUUCAGUUUCCCAAAUAUCAGUAUUAAUAAGCUAUUUCUGCAUAACAUUUGAUCACUAAAUACACUUCGUGAUCUCUCACUUCUUCAAUGACAGGGAAGGCAGCAUUGAAUCAGCAGGAUCAUCCAUGAAGUCCUUCAACAAGGAGAAAACAGACUGAAGUAUGAUGACACUUUUUGUGUAAAAAGAACUGGAGGAAGCAACUUUUUGGACAACCUCCAUAACAGUCCAUCACUAGGCUAACAACUUUUGGCAACUUUUUGGAACUUUUUGGACAACCUUCAUAACCGUCCAUCACUAGGCUAGCAACUUUCUAAUGCUAAUAGACAUCAUCACCUACUUUUGGCAAGCAGAUACGUUAGCCUGUAACUAAAACAACCUAUUUUUUGGAAGCUGUCCCAGCAACAACUGUAACUAUGUUAACUUUAAACUACAAAAGCAUAUUUUUUUGAACACUACCACAACAUCUACAUUAGUGGUAAUGCUAUUAGGACAUGAUCUACAUCUUUUGUUAUAAAAUUUACUUCUCAACUACAUUCUUGAUCCUAUUAAACUUUCAGAUUUUAUUCUAUAACCCGCGGCAACGCGCGGGCACGAAUUCUAGUUUACUAUAUACUAAUUGUCAAGUCACUGUUCAUCAGCUUAUGAACAGUAACAGCUCCAGCCGAGCCGGUGAUGGAUGAAAAGACGACAUUGUCCUUGCCUCAUCUUUCUUGCCCGACACCUGUAUAUGGUUUCAGAGCUUUCGUGUCUUUGUUCUUCGCUUCACACAGUGUGUGUAUCUUUUGCUUUGACACCUGGGGUCCUGCUCAGUGGUACCGUGUCUAUGAUACCUCACUCCACCGAGAGGUAAAUAGACAGAGAGCUUCAGUUUGAGAGAGAAAUAGCGUGAGAGAAGGAGAGAGAGCUGCAGGCUGCGUUAUAUCUAUCUAGGGAUAGAGAGAGAGUUUGAGACUGAAGAAGAGGGAGACGGGAAGAAGUUGAUGGUCGAUUGGAACAGAAAUUGAGUGAACUGAUCAUCCCAGCAAAAGUAAGAGAAGAGUUGGGUCUCUGUUCUUGGUAGGAUUUGGAUGUUCUUCGGUUAUACGGUGGCUGCCUUGAUUUCAUGGAUUUGUUUUGUGAUUUUUGAUUAGAUUAGUAGGACUGAAAUUGGAGAGGAGGAAGGGAGAAUUUAUCAAGGCCAAGAAAGGUAUUGCUUCUUCUUGCUCUGGGUGGUUGUUUGUGAAUUUUGCAGAAUGGAAUAGCAGAGAAGAAUUGGUGGGUCAUCUAAUUUGGUUAGUUUUGAUUAACAGUAUCUAUGUUAUUCUGCAGAGGAUUCAGUCUCAGCAUAGUUGAGAUUGAGAGCUACAAGUCUAAGUGUCAAUUUCAAGCUUUAUCCAUUUUUUCUGGGAAUUUACAAUGUUGCCAUGUACCCUAAAUAUAUAAUCUAAAGAACCAACGCCUACUUUCGGGAAGCAUCGGUGAAGACCGACCUCAGCUGCUGCGCUGUUGCAACCUCUCUGACGUCGACAUGAAUCCAAACAGUUUUUGUUAAAUGCAAGAUGUGUAUGGCUGUUUGAAGUCGAUUGUACCACCACAUGAGACAACUGUCAAGGAUAAAGAGUCAAAAUGUGAAAUCCAUUUGCAGAAUUUAAGGUAAACUUUUUACACACUAUUAAACAUUAAGUACAGUAUAUGAUCCAAUUGAGAUUUAAAACUAACUUCCUAAACAUAAACUUGAGAAUUACACUCUGGGGCAACACUGCUAGACAAGUCGACAUGGAAACAAUUAGAAAAGCUUCUCCACCAGUGCUGAUGGCAUUAACCAGUUUAAAAAUCAAAGAGUACUUGAACAAACCUGCCCCAUCAAAUACAAGCAACACCUGUAUUUUCAUCAAUCCAAAGAUCCCAGAGACAAACAAGUACAGGCUUCAGUUCUCAAAACUGGUUGAUAGAGUGCAAAUACUUCCAACACCAUUCAAACAGCCAACAUCAGAAGAAAUCCAGGAAACCAAUAUGAAAACAGUGACUGGAUUGAACAUAUUGGAUCCAUUGUCAUACAAGUAACAAAUGGUGUAUUGCAAUGCUUCAAUUUCCAGAUUUGCAACACACGACGGUUGGUGGUAUAAAGGAUGUCCUCACUGUUAUUGAGAAUUAAAAGAACAAGAACAUGACAAUCAACUCGGCUGCUCACUUCAUGGGAAGCAAGAAAUUCUUCCUUGUUUCAGAAUCUACAUGACUAUCACAGAUGGACAAAAUGAGGCAACGGUUAUCAUAAUGGGAAAACCAGCAGAGCAACUGUUUGGAAGUAGUUGCAAAGAUUUGGUCAGCAAAAGAUCAUACCCAACAGAAUCAACACUACCAGAGGAGAUAGAAAAAACAAGAGGCCAAAAGUUCCUUUUUCAGCUCAAGAUAAAGGAAGAUAGUGAGCUAUAAUCAAAGCAGUCUUCCCACAUAUGGAGUCCUCUGUACCACCUUUUGAAAACGACCCAGCAACUAUGACACCAGAUCCUGUUCCUUUUCAAAGAAAGAGAGUUGCUGAGACAAGUAAAAGAGGAUUAUUCAUAUCUGAACCAGACAAGAAACCUAGAAGGCAAAGAUAAGCAGAGGAAGAUGAAACCACAUCAUCGUCAUCAGCUGAAAACAAAAAGACUGUUUAAUCCAGGAUAACUGUGGUGUACAGUUUUUUGAUGAAAGUAAUCGAUUUUGUGUAGCUGCAAUGACAAGUACAGUUGGAACCACAACUGUUUUUGAACGCUCCACAAUGUUACAAAAUUGCAGCAACGAUCUUUUUGUAAAGCUGCAACUAUAAUAGCUAAUCUGACUAUGCAGCUAGCUUUUUUGUAAAGCUGCAGCUGAAAUGCCUAACAUUAUUGUGCAGCAAGCAAUUUUUGGAUGACUUUUGGUGUAACAAAUGUAGAGUGUACAUGUACUCUUUUAUCAAAUGAAUAUAAUGUAACAAUUCUCCCUCUA